GGAAACCGACGACAAUACCGCAUAAGCUCGAGAGAGGAAAGCAGCAAUGCGCUGAAGGAGGAGUCCGCGGUCGAUUAGCUAGUUGGUGAGGUAAUGGCUCACCAAGGCUGUGAUCGAUAGCCGGCCUGAGAGGGCACACGGCCACACUGGCACUGAAACACGGGCCAGACUCCUACGGAGGCAGCAGUGGGAAUCUUGCACAAUGGGGGAAACCCUGAUGCAGCGACGCCGCGUGAGCGAUGAAGCCCUUCGGGGUGUAAAGCUCUUUCGGCAGGGAAGAUAAUGACGGUACCUGCAGAAGCAGCUGCGGCUAACUACGUGCCAGCAGCCGCGGUAAUACGUAGGCAGCAAGCGUUGUUCGGAGUUACUGGGCGUAAAGGGUGCGUAGGCGGUCCUAUAAGUAUGGUGUGAAAU
RNAcentral lists this ribosomal RNA (414 nucleotides) under uncultured bacterium. RNAcentral describes it as "bacterial SSU rRNA". It matches the Rfam family "Bacterial small subunit ribosomal RNA", at positions 152 to 600 of the family's 1533-position model. The record is from RNAcentral.